GAUGAACGCUGGCGGCGUGCCUAAUACAUGCAAGUCGAGCGAACAGAUAGGGAGCUUGCUCCUUUGACGUUAGCGGCGGACGGGUGAGUAACACGUGGAUAACCUACCUAUAAGACUGGGAUAACUUCGGGAAACCGGAGCUAAUACCGGAUAACAUAUUGAACCGCAUGGUUCAAUAGUGAAAGGCGGCUUUGCUGUCACUUAUAGAUGGAUCCGCGCCGUAUUAGCUAGUUGGUAAGGUAACGGCUUACCAAGGCAACGAUACGUAGCCGACCUGAGAGGGUGAUCGGCCACACUGGAACUGAGACACGGUCCAGACUCCUACGGGAGGCAGCAGUAGGGAAUCUUCCGCAAUGGGCGAAAGCCUGACGGAGCAACGCCGCGUGAGUGAUGAAGGUCUUCGGAUCGUAAAACUCUGUUAUCAGGGAAGAACAAAUGUGUAAGUAACUGUGCACAUCUUGACGGUACCUGAUCAGAAAGCCACGGCUAACUACGUG
This 497-nucleotide ribosomal RNA is filed under the name uncultured bacterium. RNAcentral describes it as "partial 16S ribosomal RNA". It matches the Rfam family "Bacterial small subunit ribosomal RNA", at positions 28 to 507 of the family's 1533-position model. The record is from RNAcentral.